Molecule: ribosomal RNA, 124 nt
Filed under: Treponema sp.
Lineage: Bacteria; Pseudomonadati; Spirochaetota; Spirochaetia; Treponematales; Treponemataceae
Description: partial 23S ribosomal RNA
Rfam family: Bacterial large subunit ribosomal RNA
Source: RNAcentral
AGACUUCCCUGAGGAUUUAAUCCUCCUGAAGACCCCAGAGAGACUAUCUGGUUGAUAGGAUGCAGGUGUAAGCACGGUGACGUGUUCAGCCGAGCAUUACUAAUAGGUCGUGAGGCUUGACCAU